UGGAAGUUUUAUGUUUUCUAUGACAACAAGAGAGAGUUCAAAGGAGAACCUUAACAAAAGGCAGGAAUGUCAGAUGCAGGAUUCAAACCUUGCUGAAGAACUAGGGCACAUAUGAACACCUCAUAGCAAAAAAAGGAUGUUUUCUACAUCUUCAUCUACACUUGCAGGGUUGAACUAUUAAUCAGUUAUACUGCAACAACUAUAAUCAAUGAUGCUGUAAAUAAAACAAUUCAAGCAGAUGCUGAACAGGUGAAAACCCAUUUUGGAAGACGAGAAACUACCUACAAGAGAGGCAAGGAUAACCAGCACGAGAGAGCUGAGACACAAAGAACCAAUGGGCUCUUUCAAGGACGAAAAGCAAGACGAGAGACAAAGCAGUCUCAGAGACAGAACGCCAGUCCCCAGCGCUGUCAAAAGCAUCGCAUCUACGCUGUCCUUGACCCAUGGCACAGCGCAGCAAAUCAAGCACAUCGCGCUUGCUGUGCCUCACAGCUUUUACUACUUAAUACACGUUUUAACAUGCA
Cyanistes caeruleus (blue tit) is the source of this 524-nucleotide non-coding RNA. Lineage: Eukaryota; Metazoa; Chordata; Aves; Passeriformes; Paridae. The record is from RefSeq and is a predicted model, not a curated record.